This 243-nucleotide ribosomal RNA is filed under the name uncultured bacterium. Its description in RNAcentral is "partial 16S ribosomal RNA". It matches the Rfam family "Bacterial small subunit ribosomal RNA", at positions 111 to 354 of the family's 1533-position model. The record is from RNAcentral.
UAACGCGUGAGCAAUCUGCCUUUGGAUGGGGGAUAACAGCCGGAAACGGCUGCUAAUACCGCAUAAUGCAACGGGACCGCAUGGUCCUGCUGCCAAAGAUUUAUUGUCCAAAGAUGAGCUCGCGUCUGAUUAGCCAGUUGGCGGGGUAACGGCCCACCAAAGCGACGAUCAGUAGCCGGACUGAGAGGUUGAACGGCCACAUUGGGACUGAGACACGGCCCAGACUCCUACGGAAGGCAGCAG